CGGGUUUGAACACAACACAAACUUCGCAGUUAACACAAAUAGGUUUAUUCAACGUUGUUCGUGUUUUUUUGUGCCGACGAAACCGUAACGGGAUCAAGAUGGAAGUCUCUCCGUGUGACGGCGAAGUUGCGAGGAUUACCGAGAAAGUGGAAAAGUCUUUGUCCAUGGAUACAGAUGACAAAAUGGAAGCAUACCACAGAUUCGUUCAGGAUGGUAAAGAUGUUGCCAGACAAGGGGACAUGCACAAAUCGCUGGAGUUCUUCAAACUGGCGUACAACCUUCACCAGAGUCAGAAACUUGAAAUGAGGAUAAAGAAAAUUGAAGAACUUCUUGCUCAGAAUGACUCAGAGGACGAAGACGAAGAGUUUGUCAAUGUCAACAACAGCGGCUUAAUGCUUUUUAAGGAGUUACAUGACAAGCUUUAUGACUACCAGAGAAAUGGAGUGGCCUUCCUGUAUAGUCUCUACAGAGAUGGUCGUAAAGGUGGGAUCCUGGCGGACGACAUGGGUCUUGGUAAAACCAUCCAGGUGAUAUCAUUCCUCUCCGGUAUGUACGAUAACGAGCUGGCGAAACACACAUUGCUGGUCAUGCCAACUUCUCUUAUCACAAACUGGAUCAAGGAAUUUGCUAAAUGGACUCCCGGCAUGAGGGUCAAGGAUUUUCAUGGUACCAGCAAAGGAGAGAGGACCAGGAAUUUGGAGAAAGUUCAGAGAAGAGGUGGCGUCAUCAUCACUACGUACACUAUGCUUAUAAACAACUGGCAGCAACUGUCGUCGUACCACGGCAAGGAGUUCACAUGGGACUACAUGAUCCUGGAUGAGGCACACAAGAUAAAAACGUCAACCACCAAAACAGCCAAAAGUGCCUACGCCGUUCCUUCGAAGAACCGGAUUCUUCUGACAGGAACUCCAGUCCAGAACAACCUGAGAGAAAUGUGGGCGCUGUUUGACUUUGCUUGUCAAGGCACUCUCCUGGGCACAGCAAAAACAUUCAAAACAGAGUAUGAAAACCCCAUCACCCGUGCCAGAGAGAAGGAUGCCACUCCAGGGGAAAAGGCUCUCGGCUCCAGGAUGUCCGAAAACCUCAUGGCCAUAAUAAAGCCCUAUUUUCUCCGCAGGACAAAGUCAGAAGUGCAGAAAAGCAAAAUGAACGGGACACAUGUUUACAAAGAGGAACGCUCAGACAACAAAGACAGCCAAGUACCGAAUCAUCAAAAAGACUCUGGAGCAGUCAUGCCCACACUGACCAGAAAGAACGACCUGAUUGUGUGGACUUACCUGAGCACUGUCCAGGAGGACAUAUACAGGCAGUUCAUUUCACUCGACCACAUCAAAGAGCUGCUCCUAACCACCAGGUCACCGCUUGCUGAACUGAGCAUUUUGAAAAAGUUGUGUGACCACCCAAGGCUGCUCUCUGCCGGAGCCAUAGCCAAGUUGGGCUUGGAGGAGAGUGCAGCUGAACACCAGCAGACUGACGACAUGGAGUCCGACAGUCACAGCAUCGCUAACGUUCCUGACGACACUUUGAUAUCUGAGUCUGGGAAGCUUGUUUUUCUGUUCUCGCUUCUUGAAAGGCUCAAACAGGAAGGCCGCCGCACGCUUGUCUUUGCUCAUUACAGGAAGGUGCUUGACAUUAUCGAACGCAUCCUGGGCAACAGAGGCUUUAAAGUACUGAGACUGGACGGCACAAUAACUCAGAUCGCAGAGCGACAGAGGCUCAUUACUCUGUUCCAGACGGACGAGCGUUACUCCGUCUUCCUUCUGACCACACAGGUCGGCGGAGUUGGCAUCACCUUGACAGCGGCAAACAGAGUCGUGAUCUAUGAUCCCAGCUGGAACCCAGCGACAGAUGCCCAGGCUGUUGACAGGGCGUACCGCAUCGGCCAGACUGAAAAUGUCAUAAUUUACCGGCUCAUCACCUGUGGCACGGUGGAGGAGAAGAUCUACAGACGGCAGGUUUUCAAAGACUCCCUCAUCAGACAGAACACCGGAGACAAGAAGAACCCGUUUCGGUACUUCAGCAAACAGGAGCUGAAGGAGCUCUUCACACUGGAGGACACCCAGUCUUCGUCCACACAGCUGCAGCUUCAGGCGAUGCACUCCAGACAAAGACGGACAGACCCUGAACUGGACGAGCACAUUGCCUAUCUACACUCAAUGGAAAUGUUUGGGAUCUCUGACCACGACCUCAUGUUUUCCCUCGACAUCAACCAUGACGAGGCCCCGGAGGACCAACAAGAGCAUCACUACAUAGAAGGGCGGGUCCAGAAGGCUCAGGAGCUGAUGAAGGCUGAGUCAGAAUUGCAAAUGCAGCUGGCAGAGAGCAUGGCUUCAAGCACAGAACCAGCCUGGCUCAGACAGCCACUGGACAACAGCAACAGAGAGCGGUCAAAUGAGAAAACAUCAAGAAAUCCAAGACCAAGUCCUCCACACCCACAAAAUGACAUCAGCAGGUCACUGGUUGUGAUGGAGUUGGAGCACUCAGGUUCUGGCAAGGAGGACGGCCAACAGAAUCUGAGUAACCAAGUGUUCGAUCUAACUGCAGCUGAGAGUACGACAGAAGAACAAUCUGUAGUAGAAAUAAGCCAAGACAAGCUUUCUGAGGAGAACCUGGAUUCCCCAGAACACCAGUCUAUCAAGCAGGACAGGAGUGACUUGGAGGCAGCAGACGCCUCUCCUCAGGAGGUCACGGAGCAGUCUUUGGUGAUUUCAGGGGCUGCUGAUGCUGCAUCAGCUGAUGUGGCAGAUGCUUCUGUGCAAGAACUAAUGGACCAAUCAGUGAUGUCUGAGGCCGCAGUUUCUGCAGGUGAGUGCAGCCUCGUGUACGUUACAGCAGUUGAUGAAGAUAAAAAACUGCUGAACGGAAAUUUGCACUCAAAAUGCGACGACUCUGAGAUGGACGUGGGUCACUCUUAUGUCACACCCCUGCAGAACAAAAGACUGUCUGUUUUGCAAGCGUCCAACUCAAGCUUCAAAGCAGACACGUCGUCCAGAGUCAGCGCUGGGCUUGAAUCCUUCGAAGGCAACUUCAAUCUGCAGCUGGACGACAGCGACAUGUUCUCAGACAACAGUAUUCAGAAUCUGCCCGACACUGAAGCAGAGGAGAGGAAGCUGCUGUCACAGCUGCAGAUCGAGGGGAGUUUUGACAUAAAUAAAUCGCUUUCUGAGAGACAACACAAAGAAGCACCCCGGCAAAGCCUCAACAACAGCCGUGCCUCUGAAAUGGAAGAGUCAGUGAAUGAUUCUAUUGUAGUUACCGGGAAGAAAAGAGGAGCAGUGAUUUAUGAUAGUGAAGAAGAAGAAGAUGAUGAUGAUGAGAGGCAACUCGAAAACUCCUUUCAGGUGCUCGGUGCCUCCACACCUAAAUCAGUGCCCUCUGGUUCAACCCCUCUCCGAUCCAGAAAGAGUGUCGGAGGAAACACCUCUGUGGCCUCCCGCCGGUCCCUCCUCCAGUCCAUCAUCGAAGACAUAGAAAACCACAACCAGGAUGUGGCCGAAGAGGAAAACAUCAUUGAUUCAUUUCAUGAUGAGCUUCAGCUGGAGGAGACCAUUGGAGAGACUCUGAACACAGAGGAGGAGGAGGAGGAGGAGCAGGGGGAGGAAGAGGAAGAGGAAGAGGAGGAGGAAGAAGAGCACUCUGAGUCAGCAUAUGUCGUCAGUGAGUCAGGAGAGGAAAUGAGCAGCAACCUUGAGGAAUCGACCAGCGAACCCGAGCUAGCCUCCAGCGAGAGAAUGGAUCAUUGCACUGUUGAUGCAGGAGUGAAGAUGAACGGGACAACAGACGCUGCUGAGUCUGAGGGCGAGAGCUACGACUCCCUGGUCAGCAGAGGGAGGGAGUGCUACAGCAGAGGGAAGCUGGACGACGCCCUGGGCUUCUUCCUGAGAGCUAUCGACAUUAAAGCCGGAGAUCCUGAAAUUCAGCUCAUGACCAUCCAGCUCUACCGGCAGCUGAGUCAGAAGAGUUAGAACCGCCCACCUCCACCACAACCUGAAGUCAGCAUCUGCCCGAUGGUAAAUACUGUUAGAAAAAAAAAAAUCAGGGCCACGACGUCUGUUCAACACAUCCACUGCUCAGAACCAAACCAACAGUGUUCAUCCUCUGUCUCUCAGCUCUGUCCUCCGUCCUCUGUCUGUGGCUCUCAGCUCUGAGCCCAUUGGUUCAGACUGAAGACAUAAAUCUCACUGUGGUUUUAGGAGCGGACAGCAGGACGGAGUGUGUGCGCCUGAGUCACAAUCAAACACACUGUGUGUGUUGGUCUGCAUCUGUACAUGACAUUUGUUUACAGGAAGCACCAAAACUCACUGAACCUGAACUUACAUGUUUUCUAAGGAGGCUGAAAUUAUUAUUUCAGAGAUUAUUCAAGAAAAACAAGAGAUGGACAGAGUUUCUGAAAUGGUUGUAGAUACCUUGAUGACUGUAGUGUCAUUAGGAGGACACAGGCCAUAGGUCAGCACUAGCCAGCCACAGCAAUGCUAUAAUACAGCUGUGCAGUGAGCUGUGCUCUAACCCUGCUGCUCUGCUUUGGAGAACCAGCUCCUCUGGAAUCUUCGGUAGUUUGGCUUCUGCUGUGACGCGUGGGCUCCGAGCUGCGGCCUCAGCUGGGUCGGUAACCUCUGGCUGUUUUCGUUUCUGUCGGCUGGUCGCUGUAGAGACAUUGACGCUGUCGAUCGGCUCGACGCCGACUGCGUCCUGUCACACCAGCAAAAUAAAAUAAAAUCUUAUUGCCACUAACUGCCCCGAGCUUUGCCAAACUGUCUGCUGUCAGAAGUAAAAAGAAACUGAUAUACGAUCAGACAUCUGCUCUGUUCAGUCCUGUCUGUCCCUUUCAGGUCAGAUUGUGAGACGUAUUUUUGAUAUCAGACACUCUGGUGUAUGUUGUUGUGCAUUCCUGCAGUCCAGGCAUUACUCCUGUCCCUGCUCUGGUGAAGGUGACCUGUGCAGAAUGGCUUCCUGUUUGGGAAAACCCUCAGUGUGGGUUGGUUGUGGUGUUGCUUCUGUAUUGAGGACGGUUCAGCCUCAGCAUGGUGUUAGCUGCAUCCUUUCCUCUCCACCACUUCAGCCCAAAUUUAAACUUUGUCUAAACCAAACUCUUUGACUUUUCCUGUAAAUGUGUGAACAAAUCAGAAGGUGGUGGAGACACUGAGAUGCAGGGGCCGGUGUUUCGCUCUGGUUGUGUCGGUGGUGUAAAAUGGCGACGGGUGUGUAAUUGAAUCAUAGGUAAUUAACAGUGUCUGGGUAUCUCUCCCCUUGCUGCCCCCU
Toxotes jaculatrix (banded archerfish) is the source of this 5259-nucleotide RNA transcript. It is a transcript of the gene named excision repair cross-complementation group 6-like, with no coding region annotated. The transcript is spliced from 5 exons. The record is from RefSeq and is a predicted model, not a curated record. NCBI's taxonomy places the organism in Eukaryota, Metazoa, Chordata, Actinopteri, Toxotidae.